This 253-nucleotide ribosomal RNA is filed under the name uncultured bacterium. Its description in RNAcentral is "partial 16S ribosomal RNA". It matches the Rfam family "Bacterial small subunit ribosomal RNA", at positions 524 to 776 of the family's 1533-position model. The record is from RNAcentral.
UACGAAGGGGGCGAGCGUUAUUCGGAAUUACUGGGCGUAAAGCGCGCGUAGGCGGAUAAGAUAGUCAGAGGUGAAAUCCCGGAGCUUAACUUCGGAACUGCCUUUGAAACUGCUUAUCUUGAAUCUGUUAGAGGGUGGUGGAAUUCCUAGUGUAGAAGUGAAAUUCGUAGAUAUUAGGAGGAACACCGGUGGCGAAGGCGACCACCUGGGACAGUAUUGACGCUGAGGUGCGAAAGCGUGGGGAGCAAACAGG